RNAcentral lists this RNase P RNA (370 nucleotides) under Macrococcus brunensis. Its description in RNAcentral is "RNase P RNA component class B". It matches the Rfam family "Bacterial RNase P class B". From Rfam's summary of the family: Ribonuclease P (RNase P) is a ubiquitous endoribonuclease, found in archaea, bacteria and eukarya as well as chloroplasts and mitochondria. Its best characterised activity is the generation of mature 5'-ends of tRNAs by cleaving the 5'-leader elements of precursor-tRNAs. Lineage: Bacteria; Bacillati; Bacillota; Bacilli; Caryophanales; Staphylococcaceae. The record is from RNAcentral.
UAUCUCGGAUAAUCGCUAUAGCAAUAUAGAGGAAAGUCCAUGCUCACACAUGCCUGAGAUGGCUGUAGUGAUCGUGCCUGGUGAAACAAUAAGCCAGGGCAUUUAUUUGACGGCAGUGAAACGGUCUAAGUCCUCUGGAUAUGGCCCGAGUAAUUUGAAAGUGCCACAGUGACGUAGCUUGUCCGGAAACGGAGAAGGUGGAACGCGGUAAACCCCUCGAGUGAGCAAUCCAAAUUUGGUAGGAGCACUUUUCUAGCGGAAAUGAACGUAUAGAAGAGGUAGAGUAAUCUACAGACAGAUGAUUAUCACCGGCGUACGAGAGUAACUAGACUCGGUUGCAGUACUAAGGAACAGAACAUGGCUUACAGAG